UCACCACCUGCGGCGCCGCUUGCAGGGAGACAGCGCCGCCUCGCCACCCGAGGCCGCCGCCUCGGCGUCCGGAGCCCUCCGGUCGGGAGCAGCAAAUCCUCGCCGCCGCCGUCCUUGACGACCCCGCGGGCGGCGCCGGAGAUCCCCUCGGGCGGUGGCGAGGGGGGGGGGAGGAGGCGGGAGGGGAGGUUCGGCGGCUAGGGUUCGGCGCCGCCCGAGUCGCCCCAAGCGGAGCGACGCGGGGGCCGGGCGAAGUCAGGAACUUCCUUCGGCGCCCCCAAAUCGCCUCCCUCCAAUGGUGGCAGCCUCGCCUCCCUCCCUCCACCUCGCCCUCCUCCUCUUUGCAGCCCACGCGGCCGUCGGCGGCGCCGCGGGGGCGGUCGGGGUGAGCGAAGGCGGGCAGCUGUGGUGCGUGGCGAAGAACAACGCCGAGGACGGCGCGCUGCAGUCGGCCAUCGACUGGGCCUGCGGCCCCAACGGCGGCGCCGACUGCCGUGCCAUCCAGCAGGGCGGCGCCUGCUACGAGCCGCCCGACCUCCUGGCGCACGCCUCCUACGCCUUCAACGACUACUUCCUCCGAUCCGGCGGCGCCGCCAGCCCCGCCGCCUGCGACUUCUCCGGCGCCGCCGCGCUCAUCGGCCUCAACCCUAGUCAUGGGAACUGCGUGUUUCCUUCCAGUUCAUCCCCCAGAAAUGGCAGCUUCACGGGAAUAACAACCUAUGGUCGCACCGGUGCAGAUUUAAGCCAAAGUUCUUCAUGGCGACUCGACACCCGGUCAUUUAUUUUGUGCAUGUCUCUGUCUGUAACAUUUUUUGUUGCCUCGCAUUUCUGAUGGGUUUGCUUAAACUCCUGUCUGCGUGUCAUGUAUAUGAUCAACCAUUGAGCUGCAGCAAUUCAGUGUGUUCUCUAUGUGGUGGAGCAUGGAGUGAGGAAAAAAGAUCCUCUCUCGGAUGGCUCCCCCCUUUUUUUCCUGGUCUUGCAAAUGAGCAAUCAGAGAGGUGAAAGACAGGCAAGGUCCUGAGCCGGGCGAUCAUCGCCGACCCUGCGCCGGCAGAGAGGGCACGUCGAGUGCGAGGCCAGCCACAGGUCGAUGCACUCGACGUGGUACACGUGGGCGCACGCCGGCAGCAGCUUCGCCAUGGCGCCGACCCGGAUGGCGCCGAGGCAGACCGCGCACUCCGUCGAGCCCGCGCCGUCGCCC
Molecule: RNA transcript, 1201 nt
Organism: Triticum aestivum (bread wheat)
Lineage: Eukaryota; Viridiplantae; Streptophyta; Magnoliopsida; Poales; Poaceae
Gene name: PLASMODESMATA CALLOSE-BINDING PROTEIN 5
Exons: 4
Source: RefSeq, a predicted model, not a curated record